AAUGAACGUUGGCGGCAUGGAUUAGGCAUGCGAGUCGAGCGAGAACCGUAGCGAUACGGGGACAGCGGCGAAAGGGAGAGUAAUGUGUGGAUAUCGACCUCCAGGCCUGGGACAACUACGGGAAACUGUAGCUAAUACCAGAUAAUGUCUGCGGACCAAAGGUGUGAUUCCUCCGGGAUAUGAGUCCACAUCCUAUUAGCUAGUUGGUAGGGUAAUGGCCUACCAAGGCAAUGAUGGGUAGCAGGUGUGAGAGCACGACCUGCCUCAUUGGGACUGAGACACUGCCCAGACACCUACGGGUGGCUGCAGUCGAGAAUCUUCGGCAAUGGGCGCAAGCCUGACCGAGCGAUGCCGCGUGCGGGAUGAGGGCCUUCGGGUUGUAAACCGCUGUCAGAGGGGAUGAAAUACGUCGGGGGUUCUCCCCCGGGUUUGACAUAUCCUCAGAGGAAGGACGGGCUAAGUUCGUGCCAGCCGCCGCUGUAA
Molecule: ribosomal RNA, 483 nt
Filed under: uncultured bacterium
Lineage: Bacteria
Description: partial 16S ribosomal RNA
Rfam family: Bacterial small subunit ribosomal RNA
Source: RNAcentral